This is a long non-coding RNA of Xenia sp. Carnegie-2017, 231 nucleotides long. RefSeq lists it as uncharacterized. The transcript has 3 exons. NCBI's taxonomy places the organism in Eukaryota, Metazoa, Cnidaria, Anthozoa, Malacalcyonacea, Xeniidae. The record is from RefSeq and is a predicted model, not a curated record.
CCUUUGCAGAAAAAGCACCAGAAAUCCUAAACACAAAGGAUCAUGCAAUAACUUCCACAUCUACUAGUAGGACACCAUCUCAACGUAGUGUGCCUUAAUUUAAAUGACGUUCGUGCGUGCAAUAAAGAUAUAUGUUAAACCCAGUACGUGUCUUCUCUGUAGAUACAAGCAAAGUCUCUUCACAAGGAAUUCCUACAACUGGCACAAUAAGAGAAAGACAUUCUCAACGAA